CCUACGGGAGGCAGCAGUGGGGAAUAUUGCACAAUGGGCGAAAGCCUGAUCCAGCAACGCCGCGUGAACGAAGAAGGCUCUUGGGUCGGUAAGUUCCUUUCUGAGGGAAGAAGAAAGUGACGGUACCUCAGGAGAAAGCCCCGGCUAACUACGUGCCAGCAGCCGCGGUAAUACGUAGGCGGCAAGCGUUGUCCGGAAUUAUUGGGCGUAAAGAGUACGUAGGCGGUCUGUUAAGCGAAAGGUGAAAGGCAUAGGCUCAACCAAUGUGAGCCUUGCCAACUGGCAGACUUGAGUGCAGGAGAGGAAGGCGGAAUGCCUGGUGUAGCGGUGAAAUGCGUAGAUAUUACGCGGAACACCGAUGGCGAAGGCAGCUUUCUGGACUGAAACUGACGCUGAGGUACGAAAGCGUGGGGAGCAAACAGGAUUAGAUACCCGGGUAGUC
Molecule: ribosomal RNA, 442 nt
Filed under: uncultured bacterium
Lineage: Bacteria
Description: partial 16S ribosomal RNA
Rfam family: Bacterial small subunit ribosomal RNA
Source: RNAcentral